CUUGUGUUCAUGUUACUAUUGACACAUACUCUAAAUUUUUGUGGGCUACGGCUCAAAUUGGAGAAACCACCCGUCAUGUUAUUCAACACUUAGUAGAAACAUUUGCUAUUAUGGGAAUUCCCGCUAUGAUUAAAACUGAUAAUGGUCCAGCUUAUACUGGUAAAAAUUUUAAAGAUUUUUGCAAAUUAUAUGAUAUUGUUCAUCUAACUGGAAUAGAAUAUAAUCCACAAGGACAAGCUUUAGUAGAACGUGUACAUGCUACGCUUAAAACACAAAUUAAAAAAUUAAAAAGGAGUAAAAUGACAGAUUUAAAUAUGCACUUCUUUAGACAUUUACAAAAUCAACCUAAAGCAUUGUUACAUCAAGCCUUAUUUAUUUUAAAUUUUCUUAAUCUUCCACAAGGAGAAAUAUUGACAAGAGCAGAACGACAUUUUGAGCAAAAAACUUUAGAAACAGUUCAUGAACCAAUUUGGAUAAAAAUUGCGGCAGAUGCUGAAUGGCAGCCAGGGAUUUUACUUUAGAGAGGAAAGGGCUAUGCUUAUGUUUUAACAGAAAAUAGACACCGGCAGUGGCUCCCAGCGUGGUGGAUCCAGACCCGUCACAAUCAGAACGGCACCAAGGGGGGCACCCUAUCCAUUACCCCAGCAGAGGAAUCAAGAUCCUAAGCUUGAUGUUCCGGUGGCAGCAAUGGCACGUCUUCAUCUUGGGGCCCGAUGUCGUCGACAUCCUAAUUUUUCUCCCUUACCUACGUGGGGUCAAAUUAAAAAGCUGAGUGGGGAAGGGCAGAAGGUACUACAACGAACAGGGAAGAAUUGCACCCCAGAAAAUUUAUUUCUGGCUAUGUGUGCAUUAUUGACAGUGUCUUCCGCUUGUGAGGUACAAAAUAAUAACACUCACUAUUGGGUCUAUAUUCCCAAUCCACCUUUGCUGGAACCUGUUACUCGGGGUGACACGGAUAUUACCUUAUAUACUUCUCCUGCUCUUUUCUCUCCCCCUUGGAACAAUUUAACAUAUCUGAAUAUUUAUGAUGGAACAUUAUUUAAUUUUACUUAUAAGAAUAAUAACAAUAAACCUAUAUGCUUGGGUGUUCCUCCUUGCUUGCAAUUAGAUUGGCAACAUUGGAUACUAGUUGGAAAUUGGAGUAAUAGUUCUCGAACACGUUUACAACGGUUGUCUGCAUGGUCCGUCAAUAUGACCUGGGAUAAUAUAACUGAACAAAAAUACCCUAUGUUCCCCGAGUGCCCCAAUUUUACUUAUCAGGACUUGAGAUACUCCCCUUUCAUAUGGCAGGAAUGUUUAGACAAAUUUGGAAAGAUAUUUCAGAAUAUUAUCAUGUGGGGUCCUUACGGGAUGUUUUUAAAAAAUUGUUCAGAAUGGAAUAUUACUGCUUGUGAUUUAUCUUCUACAUACAGAAUCCCGCCGAAAGAGAGAUGGAAUGAAACCAUUCGGAN
This 1451-nucleotide long non-coding RNA is filed under the name Marmota monax (woodchuck). The record is from RNAcentral. Lineage: Eukaryota; Metazoa; Chordata; Mammalia; Rodentia; Sciuridae.